Long non-coding RNA from Lolium rigidum, 826 nucleotides. RefSeq lists it as uncharacterized. The record is from RefSeq and is a predicted model, not a curated record. The transcript has 3 exons. NCBI's taxonomy places the organism in Eukaryota, Viridiplantae, Streptophyta, Magnoliopsida, Poales, Poaceae.
CACUAGGUAAUCAAAUCAGGCUCCAUCUGUUCACGAGCAAGCGGAAGAGUAACGAGACAAAAGAUGUCAGCACUCCUGGUCGUAUGUAGGCGACGAGGGGCAUGGCAGCGGCGCGGUAGCGCCCUAGCAGGAGUACCAGCGAGAUGCAGAAGGGGAUGUAUCACGUACUAAUGAUCGAUCAUCUAACUUGCUCCGCCGCUUCACGCAGCACAUGUAUUAAGUGUGCCAAUGGAAGGGACAACGAUAUACAAGAUUUCGGAGUGGCGACAUUGACUCUGUUCCUGUCAUGCCUUACAAACCAGUUUCUUCAUCAUUCUCUGUAUCAUUUAUGUAUUCCUAAAUUUUGCACAUGAAUGUGCUGAGCCAGAAAAGGUGACAUGUGAGGCCACAGACUAAGCAACUUUGUGACCGUUCAAGUACGUGCCCGCUGAAGACCGUUGUGCUCAUACGCUUCGCCGCUUCCACACUAAGAGCAAGUCCAACAAGGGGACUAGCGUGUCAAGAAGGAACUUGUGCAGAGGAGCAACAAAAGCAUUGCACACGUGCUCCAACAUUGUUGCACGCCAUCAAUUGUAUGUGUGUAAACAAACCGGGAGCUAGGGGAAACAAAUCCGCAGGUGAGUUAAACUCUCUUGGUACCGUUACACUGCUGAUAAGAGGAGCAACACUCAUUGUAUAGUUGCUCAUUAAAAAACAAGCAUUUUGGUCGAUAAUUGUACACACUAGCAAGUGCAUGUAUCUUUUUCCUGCUGUUGUAGUGGGAUCAAGGCACAUACAAUUAUGGAGGAGAUGACAUGCCUCAAAGUAUGAGAGUUGAAGCAAUAAA